CGAUAGUGCGCGAACCGCGAAUCCUCAAAAUCCCCAAAUCUCCAUUUCCCAGCUCUAACCCUAGACGCAGACCGGCCGUGCAGGUGCGGCUGCGGUGGGAGAGAGCCUCUGCCGGCGAAGCGAAGCCUCGCGACUCGCGGGCUCCAGGAGGGGAUCCGUUCCGUCUUGGUUGUUUCCUGGUUUGCAGGUCGACGCGGCGGCGAAGGAUUUGGUACCUAGGCUUCCUCAAGAGACUAGAUUGCUUACUAUGGCUUCUGAGGAAACCAAACCAAAGAAGCAAAGAGAUGAGGAAUGCAUUAUAAACGGUCUCCCAGGAGAACUCAUUGAGCGGAUAUUUUUGAAGCUUCCAGUGAGCACUUUGUUGAGGUGCACUGGUGUUUGCGAGCAGUGGCACAAAAUCAUCCGAGAUCCUCAGUUUGUCACCUCUCACCUCCAGGAUGCGCCCCAAUGUGCCUUCCUAUUCUUUCCACAAGAGUCGGUCUCAGGUGAACCCCAUCCUGCUGAUGCUAUCCUGAUUGAUGAAGCCUUGUCGCCAUCGACAUAUGCAGUGCCAGUGAUUGGGCCUGACGAUUUCCUUUGCGGUUCAUGCAAUGGGCUUCUUGUCUUAUACACAAAGUCAUCAACACUCAAGGUAGCUAACUUUGCAACUGGUGAAUGUCUGCAUCUUGAGAAACCUGUAAAGAAUUUGAGGGGUGAUCACUUGUUCUACAACUUUGGAUUUCACCCAUUGACAAAAGAAUACAAGAUUACACACUUCCUUGGUGAUCUUGUUGUGGGCAGCACUCGCUCCCAUAAUAAUAGCAAAUUCAGCGUCAUUCAAGUUUACACACUUGGUGAUGAGAAAUGGAGAGAUAUCAAAACUCCAGAAGCCCUAAGCUUAAACUGUGUAAAAAACUCUGGAGCAGUCAAUAUUGACGGAACAAUGUGUUGGCUAAUUGAAGACAUGGUAGCUAACUGGCAGCAUGCAGUUAUGACCUUUGAUCUCAAUGAAGAAAGUUUUGCACGGAUACAACUGCCAGCAACUGUACAUGAAGAUUGUGCAGGUGGCGGUCCCCGUCGGCACUGGAUCAGAGAGAUAGAUAGGAAGAUAUGUAUAGCAACUGCUCAAGCCUGUCCUUCUCUUCCCAGAAGGCUUGUUGGUACGCUGCAGAUCUGGGAACUUGAGAACAAAACGGAGCAAAGGUGGAGCCUGAAGUACAAUAUUCAGUACUCGCCAGAUUACAUUCCGGGUCCAAAUUUGGUUCAUAGGAAUAAGAUCAUACUGCAACGUCGCGACAGCAACCUAUAUUCCUAUGAGUUGCUCGGGGAGAACUUCAAUACUAAAUUGUGUAAGAUGGCAAAGCUGUUAGAUUUCUUCCCCCACAAUCCUGACAACAUGCAAUCCUAUAUCUGUGUGAAGUCACUUGUACGUUUAGAUGUAUACAAGACUGCCAUUGCGCGUAGGCCAAAACAACGGGAAGGCUGGGAAUUGAAGAAGUGGGAGGCAUGGGAGCACCAGCUCUCUGAUUAUGAAAAACUGUGGACUCGCCUUCAUGAAGAAGAGCACGAGGGAAUUGCACUUGCAGAACACAGUAGCAUAUCAUUCAAUGGUCUACUGCCGCGUAUCUUGGAUGAUGCGAUUCGACAGGAUAUAGGCAUGAAAAUCAAUCAAAUAUGUCCAAGCCUUCCAGAUCAGAAGAUGCAAGGAUUGUUUAAGUGUACCCUCAUCAUUGGUCAUGUUUUGCACGAGACUCCAGCAACCAAGGCCCCUCCGGCGGCUUAAUUGUGUGGCACAGAAGCAAGAUAGGGAAAAUUUAUCUGCUCGUUUGGAGAAUUAUAGUAGCAUUAUGAAGGCAUCGAGGGAGGCUUCAAAGAGUAUCAUGAGUAUGAUACUUAGUGCUGUAGAAAAUCAGAGGGGUGCUUCGGGCUCAAAUGCUGGCAUUUCUUCUCAGAAUCGCAGUGAGGGAGAUGAUGUGAAGGUUUAAUACUUCAGAAUCUAUCAUGAGGGCGAUGACGUUCAGCACUUGUUUCUUUUUGUCACCGAGGGACCGUUUACCUCGUUUACCUGUACAAAACAGUUCUUUCUGAAGUACCGUCUGUGUGCUGCUAUGUUUUUUAUUUUUCGUUUGAAUUUCAGUCCUUGUGAUCUAAUUAACUUAUUGGUCGAUUCGAGACCUUGGAGAAUUUGCGGGACAGCAAGACAUUUGAUCUGAAGGUCAAACCAACUCUUUGCCACUGAAUAAUAUGCAUCGGAGCUUUACGGAAUAGUUGGAAGUGCAAG
Molecule: RNA transcript, 2260 nt
Organism: Triticum aestivum (bread wheat)
Lineage: Eukaryota; Viridiplantae; Streptophyta; Magnoliopsida; Poales; Poaceae
Gene name: F-box protein At3g07870
Exons: 6
Source: RefSeq, a predicted model, not a curated record